This 262-nucleotide ribosomal RNA is filed under the name uncultured bacterium. RNAcentral describes it as "partial 16S ribosomal RNA". It matches the Rfam family "Bacterial small subunit ribosomal RNA", at positions 92 to 354 of the family's 1533-position model. The record is from RNAcentral.
CGACCGGCGUACGGGUGAGUAACACGUAUCCAACCUGCCGUCUACUCUUGGACAGCCUUCUGAAAGGAAGAUUAAUACAAGAUGGCAUCAUGAGUCCGCAUGUUCACAUGAUUAAAGGUAUUCCGGUAGACGAUGGGGAUGCGUUCCAUUAGAUAGUAGGCGGGGUAACGGCCCACCUAGUCUUCGAUGGAUAGGGGUUCUGAGAGGAAGGUCCCCCACAUUGGAACUGAGACACGGUCCAAACUCCUACGGGAGGCAGCAG